UACCUUUUUUGUGUAAGUAUAUCUGGAAUGUGCGUGUGAAUGUGAUCAGAACGUCCAAAAUGUGUGUUGGUCAAAUGUAUAUUACGCAAUAUUAUAACGAAGGUUUUUGGUAUUUCCCAAUGAAUGAAGAACAAAACGAUGUUGUUGGUUUUGCUGACGUUUCGCUAUUUAAUGGUAAUAGUAUUAGUAAACGGUGGAUGGUGGUGCAUGGCCGUUCUUAGUUGGUGGAUCGAUUUGUCUGGUUAAUUCCGAUAACGAACGAGACUUUAACCUACUAAAUAGUAGAUUGGUCCUCUGUACUCGUUCAGGGCGCGGCUUCUAUUGCUUCUUUAUGGAGUAGUAUGGUCGUGAUCCGGCGGGUACGGUGCCAGUUUUUACUUCUUAGAGGGACAGACGACACAUCGAAGUCGUACGAAAUUGAGCAAUAACAGGUCUGUGAUACCCUUAGAUGUCCGGGGCCACACGUGCGCUACAAUGACGGUGCCAGCGAGUUUGGGAACCUGGCCCGAAAGGGUUGGGCAAACUGUUUCAUCACCGUCGUGACUGGGAUCGGGGCUUGCAAUUAUUCCCCGUGAACGAGGAAUUCCUGGUAAGUGCAAGUCAUAAGCUUGCGCUGAUUACGUCCCUGCCCUUUGUACACACCGUCGCUACUACCGAUUGAGUGGUUUAAUGAAGCCGUUGGAUUGGUGUCGUUGCAGUGGCUUUGCCGCUCUACUGAUGCCGAGAAGACGACC
Molecule: non-coding RNA, 734 nt
Filed under: Trichobilharzia regenti
Lineage: Eukaryota; Metazoa; Platyhelminthes; Trematoda; Strigeidida; Schistosomatidae
Description: Eukaryotic small subunit ribosomal RNA
Rfam family: Eukaryotic small subunit ribosomal RNA
Source: Rfam by way of RNAcentral